RNAcentral lists this ribosomal RNA (253 nucleotides) under uncultured bacterium. RNAcentral describes it as "partial 16S ribosomal RNA". It matches the Rfam family "Bacterial small subunit ribosomal RNA", at positions 524 to 776 of the family's 1533-position model. The record is from RNAcentral.
UACGUAGGUGGCAAGCGUUGUCCGGAUUUAUUGGGCGUAAAGCGCGCGCAGGCGGUGAGGUAAGUCCGUCGUGAAAUCUCCCGGCUCAACUGGGAGGGUGCGGGGGAGACUGCCUGACUGGAGGCACUCAGAGGCCGGUGGAAUUCCCGGUGGAGUGGUGAAAUGCGUAGAGAUCGGGAGGAACACCAGUGGCGAAGGCGGCCUUCUGGACCAAUACUGACGCUCAUGCACGAAAGCGUGGGGAGCAAACAGG